CCCAUUUCACAUCCGAAACCACGGCACCACAAUACUUCCUCAUCAUCUCAUAUUACAAACCGCGGCACCUUAUCUGCCAUUCAUCUCCAUUUCCUCUCCAUUGUUACCUCAGCCCAAACCACAACAACAUUUCCUCACCUUGUAAUCAUCGACCAAGAGAGAGAGAGAGAGAGAGAGCUGCACUCUGCAAGCCGAGAGUGAGAGUGAGGGAGAGCCGAGCUUCUUGUUUCUUUUCUUUCCGUCCGUAAGCUAGAGAGGGAAGAGAGGGACUUGCGAUUCAUUUUGUCUUCUAACCGUGAGCUGGUGAAGGGACUAAGGGCUGAACUUUCUCCAUUCCAGCCGCAACCCAGAGCAAGGGAGAGAGAGAGCUAGUGGUCUGCAUUUUCUGGGCUGCCGAAGGGAGGAGGACUAUUUCUGCUGCUAACCGUGUGUGUGAGCUCCAUUUGAGGCGCACACGAGGACCUUUAAGAGGAUCCGACAGAGGACGCUUGAACUUCAAAUUGAACCUAUUGCCCUUGUUGCUAGGUUCUGACAACUGAGGAAGACUUGAGAUCUACUUGUACUUUAAGCAUGUAGUUUGAAUUAAACAAUGUAGCCGUCUCAAAUGUGCUCGGAAGUAGUACUAGAUUGUUUACUUUCAUGAAUGUAAUUUGAGUUAAACAUUGUAGUUUUGCCUUAGGUUGCCACUUGAAGCUGGAAAAGUGUAAACCCUGGAUUUGUAUGUGGCUUGUAUAAAUUUGUUACUUGGCUUGUAAGGAUGUAUUUGAAUUGAUGUUUUGUUUCUUGGGUUGUAUUCGGGAAGGUAUUUUAAGAAUCGAUGUUGGCUAUCUUAAGGCACUGUUAUCUCUGAAGUUAAUGUGAUUCUAGAAACCGGCCUAUUUGGAGGGAAACGAUGUUGUAAUAGAUUAGGUUAUACUUCGGAAGGAUUUUUGC
Long non-coding RNA from Coffea arabica (coffee), 933 nucleotides. RefSeq lists it as uncharacterized. The record is from RefSeq and is a predicted model, not a curated record. Lineage: Eukaryota; Viridiplantae; Streptophyta; Magnoliopsida; Gentianales; Rubiaceae.